This 365-nucleotide unclassified non-coding RNA is filed under the name uncultured bacterium. Its description in RNAcentral is "contains 16S-23S intergenic spacer region". The record is from RNAcentral.
UCCGGUUUAGACCGGCGGUCUCCCUAGAAUAUUCAACUAAGAGCAGGGGUUGCGCUCGUUGCGGCACUUAAGCCAACACCUCACGGCACGAGCUGAAGACAGCCAUGCAGCACCUGAGCAGGAUGGUAUUGCUACCUCGUUGGGCUUUCACCCUUCUACUACCUGCAUGUCCAGCCCAGGUAAGGUUCUUCGCGUUGCGUCGAAUUAAACCACAUGCUCCACCGCUUGUGCGGGCCCCCGUCAAUUCCUUUGAGUUUCAACCUUGCGGCCGUACUCCCCAGGCGGCACAUUUAAUGCGUUAGCGUCGACACGAAGGGGGUCGAUACCCCUCACGUCUAAUGUGCAUCGUUUACAGCUAGGACUAC